UAGUAACGGCGAGUGAAGCGGCAGCAGCUCAAAUUUGAAAUCUGGCCCUCUGGGCCCGAGUUGUAAUUUGUAGAGGAUGCUUUUGGCGCGGCGCCUUCCGAGUUCCCUGGAACGGGACGCCAUAGAGGGUGAGAGCCCCGUACGGUUGGAUGCCAAACCUCUGUAAAGCUCCUUCGACGAGUCGAGUAGUUUGGGAAUGCUGCUCAAAAUGGGAGGUAAAUUCCUUCUAAAGCUAAAUACCGGCCAGAGACCGAUAGCGCACAAGUAGAGUGAUCGAAAGAUGAAAAGCACUUUGAAAAGAGGGUUAAACAGUACGUGAAAUUGUUGAAAGGGAAGCGCCUGUGACCAGACUUGGUCCCAGCGGAUCAUCCGGCGUUCUGCGCCGGUGCACUCCGCUGGGCUCCAGGCCAGCAUCGGUUCUCCCAGGGGGAUAAAAACCGCGGGAACGUAGCUCCUUAGGGAGUGUUAUAGCCCGUGGCAUAAUGCCCUUGGGGGGACCGAGGACCGCGCUUCGGCAUGGAUGCUGGCGUAAUGGUCACUAGCGACCCGUCUUGAAACACGGACCAAGGAGUGAAGCAUUAGGGCGAGUGUCUGGGUGUUAAACCCGCACGCGUAAUGAAAGUGAACGCAGGUGAGAGCUUCGGCGCAUCAUCGACCGAUCCUGAAGUAUUCGGAUGGAUUUGAGUAAGAGCCUUACCGCUUCGACCCGAAAGUUGGUGAACUAUGCCUGUAUAGGGUGAAGCCAGAGGAAACUCUGGUGGAGGCUCGCAGCGGUUCUGACGUGCAAAUCGAUCGUCAAAUAUGGGCAUGGGGGCGAAAGACUAAUCGAACCAACUAGUAGCU
This 843-nucleotide ribosomal RNA is filed under the name fungal sp. RNAcentral describes it as "partial large subunit ribosomal RNA". It matches the Rfam family "Eukaryotic large subunit ribosomal RNA", at positions 81 to 952 of the family's 3401-position model. The record is from RNAcentral. Lineage: Eukaryota; Fungi.